This is a long non-coding RNA of Passer domesticus (house sparrow), 6015 nucleotides long. RefSeq lists it as uncharacterized. Lineage: Eukaryota; Metazoa; Chordata; Aves; Passeriformes; Passeridae. The transcript has 2 exons. The record is from RefSeq and is a predicted model, not a curated record.
CAGUGCGACUAAAACCCAGACACCAAAAGUUUGAACAUUAUAGCAGGGGAUCGCACUGGACUCAGUCACGUCCCAUGAGAACAAAUCACGAUUUUUGUGCCCUUGUGCAAAUAAUACAUAGAUCCACACCUAAGGUUUAAUAAUGUAGGAUUCAAUGUGUGCUAUUUAAAAGCUCGCUCAAGAGGGUUUCUCCAAGAACAUUUCUUGGGGUGGAUGAUAAACACAGUUGGUUCCCCAGGCCUUUUAUUAGAAACCUCUAGAUAUUUUUAGGGCAGCUAGGUGAUAGUGACUAUUUUGUAUUUAAAGAAAUGCAUAUCUUAGGGCAGUUCUGACAGGGUUUGCUAAUAAUUAUGCAAAUUUAAGAUAGUAGCUAAUCUUUGCCACUAUAGCAAAAGUAAAAAGCUGUCCUGAUGUAAUUAUGCUGCACUGCAAUCAGCCAGGUAUCAGUGUUUACUGUAAUAGCUGUGUGUGUUCAUUUUGUCCUGGUGUUAGCAUCAAGGCACAUCCCAUGCACAUGCAAAGGUCUUCAUGGAAACACCAUUUUUGGGGGGGAUUUUUCAGUUUUUAGUUUAGUUGUUAAGAUUUUUGUUAAAUUUCCAUUUGCUGCUAAGAGGCUAUUUUCUGUCAUGGUUUUCUCUGGUGACUUUUCCCAUCUGUCCCUUUCUACAUCCCAAUCACUUGACAGAUUUUGGUUUUCUUUUGAAGAUACUAAAAACUCAAAACAUUACCCAAACUGCAACACAUGUAUCUUUUACACAGAACUGCAGUGGAUCUGCAGAUACAAUCUGUAGACAGGUUGUUUAAACAUUUGGCAAAUGAUCUUUUAAUUCAUAUCAUUAAUUCUCAAAGUUGUUAACUUGAUGAAACAGCCUCAUAUACAUAAUAAAGUCUCACUUCACUUUAUCAAAAUACCAAAAGCAGUAUUUCCAGCCCAAUAGGGCAGGUGUUUUCUUUAUGAAGUUACUGCAGCUGUAAGUAUUGUACCACAGCUGACCUCUCAAAGACUUCACAGGUCCCAAAGGGAGUAGGAUAUAUUUUUUUACUUUUUAAAAUUUAAGUUUCUAAUAAACAUUCUGCUUCCACGUCAUUUUGGAGACAGUGACUCAGACAGAUGGUUAUUAUAGAAAAUUACAUACUAAAAUGGAAGGUAAAAAUACAGUGCAUGAUACCAGUCCAUGAAUGUUUCUCUCUUACUCUUCAAUUUCUGGAAAUAAUCAUUUCCAUAACAGCCAGCCAUGGGUGCAGAGUUGGAUAUUCCCUUUAUUUAAUGCAAAUUGUGCAUCAUCACAUAUCCUUUCAGGGUACCUGCAGUUACAAAUUACUUCAGAUCUUAAAAUCAUGUUUUGAAGCUGUUAAAAUUACUGAAAAAAUGCACUGUUAAAAAUAAACAAAAAAUUUCAUUAAAGAUCAACUUCACAGAACAUUUUAGUACCUAUUUACUAUUUUUGUAUUAGCAGUAACAGUUGAAAGGCCACUUUAGAUUAGAUCUAGAAAAGUCAUUAAAUGUUUCAAAAUGUAUCAUUACUUUAAAAUGUAUUGGAGAGGUCUUCCUCACUUGUGAAUCUAUGCUAUGAAUUCUGCAAUUAGCAAUGCUUUUUGACAAUAUACCAGACAGUGUAAAUGAACAUUAAAAUUGACAGUUGACAUAAUUUUAUAGAUAUUUAAAGAUUAUACAAGACACAAACAUCCCUCCAUCACAAUAAGAUAUUUAUUUCAUAAUUUUUUCAAAGUGCUUUGAAAAUGCUUGUCAAAGGUGACACAUUUUGCAUUCCUAAGUGGUUGAGGUCUUCCACUGGAAAAUGUCAGCCUUAGGUUGAUUAAUUUAUACAUUGUUGUUAGAUUCCAUUUUCAUAUUAAUUAACUAGUUGAACUUGAUGAUCUUACUCUGUUUGACAGCCUCAAUUUGGCCAACAUGGCAACUGCUUUGGUAAAAAAACCAAUAUUGAAACAAUUAAUUUUGAGUUUUUCUGUUAGUUAAGGGUUCUUAUGUCCAACUAACCCAUGUCCAACUAACCAUCACUACAGGAAGAAUUCCUUGUAAGGACAGAAUCAAAUGAAGUGCCAAGGAUAUCAUUGUCCACCCACUCCUAGGGUAAGUACCUCAACCAGACAAUGUAAACAUCUCCAUGUUUCAUGGUCUUUCUAUGAGAUUUCAGCUUGAUAUGGUAAUAAUGAAAGCAACAGAAUUCAGAAUGAAAUUUGGGUGCAUUAAUUGCAGAAUAAGCAUGAUAGCAACAGAGUUUUUGCAGAACUGCAAAACUGUAAGGUUAGCUUUUAAAAAGCAUGCAGUUAGUUCUUUUCCCAGCUUUUUAAGUUUCCUUCUAGGUUUGUCUCAUCAUAAGGAAUGGGAUUCAUUCUGCAGCCUGUUCACCUCCUCCCACCUAGGAGUGACUUGAGGGCUGCAGAGAGGAAGUAAAAAAAGAUACUUUGCAUCAUUUAAUUAUGAGCUCUUUAGCUGCCUGAGUAAUGUUGAUGGAAUCCAGAAAAAUGUGUCUUGUCUGCCUUAGGCAGCAUAAAAUGGGAACAUGCUUCAGCUCAGAGGGGAAAAAAGGCACAUGGAGAGAUUGGAACAGGGAAUUCGCACUUGACAAAUGGCACAAGCGUGAGAAAAUUUACUGGCAAAAUACUAACACUCCAUCUUCUGAGAAGCUUGACAUUAUCAGAGAAGAAGGUUUUGCUGUUUUAAAAAAUCCACCAAACAGACAAAAAACAAAAAAGAAGAGCCUAAUUCUCUUCCAAGAUAAUCAGGCUGCAGUUACUUGAAUAAUUGUUGUUCUUCCCAGAAGUUGUAAAAUGGUGCAAAUGUCCCUCCACUGAAAGGAGCCAAUCACAGUUCUCUUAUUCCCCAGCUUCCAUCCCUGAAAUUCCACUGUUUUUCUGGAUGUUACUCCCCUCUUAUGGCAGUGACAAAGAGUAAGCCCAUGUAUGUAAGCCCUGUCCCAAACCUUUGGUAAGUCAGAACAACAGCUUGUGAAGGCUGCCUGCCUUAAAGUGAAGGACUACACAGUUGAUAGGGGCUGAUUCUGUUCCCACUGAAGUCUAAGGGAGUUAAGUUUAUGAACAGGAACCUUCUCUCAGUUGUAGCUGUCUUCAGAUCCUGUAGUUGUCUAGCUCCCUUGGCUAUUCUGUAAGUCUAUAGCUCCAGAAGGGGAAAUUCUCUUGUCCUGUAGCACACACCCAGACAAGUAAGGGGGUCUGACCCCAUCAAAUUUUAAGUUUAUAAGAACAUGAUCCAGUUUUCUGUACUGACUAAUUUGCAGCCCUAAACUGUCUUUUGCAAGGCUGGGGUUUUGUGUGUGUUGACGCUUUUUUGACUUCCACCUUAGGAACAGUCAGAAAAAAAAGUAUGAACUGUGAGAUAGGAGCACAACUUAGAUACAAGGAAUAAAAUGCAUCAGCUGACUUAGCACUGGGCAACCCCACAUCAGUGAGUCAGGAAAACUGCUGCUUACUGGCUAAAAAGUAAUACAAGCCUCUUUCUGCCAUUAAGAUAGGGAGCACAAUCUUCAGGUGGAACAAGUGUUGACUUAAAGAUCUCUGUUCUCUAGCACUACCUUGUUUGUGGUCAUUGGGAGUGGGGCUGUGCAUGAGCCUCCUCCCCAGUGGGCACAGCUGUGAGCAGCAGGUGAGCAGCACUGACAGCACUGAGCCAUGGAGUGCCCAGGGGCACUGACCAACCCCAAAGGGAGCACAGGGCACACAGGUGCAGGGCAUCAACAUGAGGGGAUAAAAGGUGGGGCUGAAGAACAAGAAGGGCAGAUGCUUGCAGCCUUCUGAAGUGGUGUGGUGUUACUCUGUGUGGGGAGGGUCCUGAAGCCUUCUGAUAUGAAUCACAGAGAAUUCAAGAAAUGCCAACAUAUUAAUUCUGAAAAUUAAAUCAGCAACAACAACAAAGCCAGACCCUAAAUCUGUAGCAGUAUUUCAGUACUCAAAAGCUGCACUUCAUCCAUGGGAACUUCAAUGAACUUGUGCAGACUGAAUACCACAUCAAUAUUCCCAGCACCAGCUCAGGAACUUCACAACUCUUCUAUUGUUUAAUUUAUGAAUAUUGCAGCUCAAGCUUGCUCGAGUUCCACAAGGACUCCAUGGCAAUCUUUAGGGUGAAGAAAAAUCACAGGUUUGCCAUGUGCACCUAUUUUUGGCUCUUCACUCAAUAUUCGUAUCUUUUUUUUCUUCAGCUCUGUCAUAGCUGCUUUUAUGUCAUCAACCUUUUAAAAAAGAUACAGUUCACACAAAUUAACAUCUUGCACUGUAUUAUGCAGAUUUCACAUUUAGGAGCAACAACAAUUCCUUACUGAAAUGUUAUUUCUAAGUUCUAAUAUAAUUCUGAAAAUAAAUUAAGUUGUAAACCAUUUAAAAACUGAAGUAUUUUUAUUUUAAUACUACAUGGAGUUUGCAUUUGUUAUUUGAAUAUUUUAUAAAACACCAUUUAAAUGGAUUGUGCAAUUUUUAAGAAAUUCAUAAACUGAAAUCACUCAUGUAGAAAGACCAUUGAUCUUUUUGUUGUUACUUUAUAAGGACUCUAUAAAUAAUCUAAAUUCUGCAUUACUUUCUGCUCUCAAUAACUAAAGAAUAAUAUCUCCCUUUAUAAAUGAUGACAGAGCACUGACUCAUUAAAUGGUGAAAAAGGGAGGGCAGUGGGCACAAGGUAAAAGUCCCUUUUAGAUUUAUGUAUUCUCCUUCUGAGUAGGUUAAGGUUCAUUAUGUUUCCUAAGGAAAAAAGCUUGGAAUAAUCAAAAAUAUAUCCAGAUGUGGUCUUUGUAUUGAACUUUACUAUAAUAACAGCCAUUAAUACAGUAUUUCAGUACAGUUCCCUACAGAUAUAUGUAAUUAACAAAAAUAUGCCUAUACUGUAUGCUGUGAUCUGAAGUUCUGAUGGCAUGUCAUCUAAUGAAAUUUUAAUUUUCCUAAAACUUAAAUGCAUUCAUUUUUUGAAAUAAUAAUAUUAGCACUCAGUUUAGAAAAUUCAAUAUUCAAUAAAGACCUAGAAUUAAAAUAAUAUCAUUGGUGUUUUUCAAGACUGAGGUGUCUGGACAUAAUUUAGUGAAUAAACUCUUCUCCCAAUGCCAUAGCAGGGAAGAAGGAAAUUCCUAGCUUCAAUUCAGAGGAACAGACAUCACCUAAUUCCUACCCAUUUGCAGCAGUUUUGUUCAUGAAUAUCCCAAACUCGCUACAGUUCUUUCUACACACAACUACCAGUCUGCAAAACAAAAAGGAAUGACUGUCAAAUUAUCUAAACUAGAAAGGCCACAUGUGACAUGUGCCAUGGCCCCCUCCAGAUUCUGUCCCCAAGCAGAAAAGCCACAGCAGCUGCUGCUCCUGUCCUGCAGAGAUGGCCUGAAGAGCAGUCUGGGCUCAGCUGGAAUGAAUUCCCAAGGAUGAGUGACAGUAAACAGUGCAAAGCCUUUGGGUGCAUCCAUGUUAGAAGAGUACCAGGCUUGGAUUGCUCUCUUACUCUGUUGUCUCCAGCUUGGUGCUCACUGCAGGCAUUAAAUUGUAACUGGUCAGGAAUAAUUUAAUUUCCUCUUAAACUAGUUACCUUUUUUGAAACAAGUUGCCUAUCAAAACAUCUGUUUUGUAUAAGAGACAAGAAAUACAACAGCCUUGUAUGUUAGCUCUUAACAUAGGUCAAACCUAUUAAAACAUGCAUACUUGAAUGUAUCUCUUAUUACAAAAAAUAUUAUGUUAAAAUACCUCAAUGCAGAUAUGAUGCAUUCCUCCAGUCUUGUUUUUUUGCAGGAAGCUUGCAAUGGGACUUUUCUCUCCUAAAGGAUGUAGAAGUUCCAGCUUGGUGUUUCCCAGCUCCACAAAAACAGUGUAGACACCAUGCUCAGGAAGAGCAACAGUCUCACUCACCUGGGCUCCUAACACAUCUUUGUACAAGGACUGAGCUUUCUCCAAGUCAGGCACUGCAAUUGCCACGUGAUUAAGUCGGCCCAGUUUCCACAAACAGCUUGGAAUGUUUUGUGAGAAGGACUUUGAUGACGACAGAGUUCGUACUGUGGGAGCAGAAGU